RNAcentral lists this ribosomal RNA (491 nucleotides) under uncultured bacterium. RNAcentral's name for it is "partial 16S ribosomal RNA". It matches the Rfam family "Bacterial small subunit ribosomal RNA", at positions 29 to 507 of the family's 1533-position model. The record is from RNAcentral.
AGUGAACGCUGGCGGUAGGCCUAACACAUGCAAGUCGAACGGCAGCACAGUAAGAGCUUGCUCUUACGGGUGGCGAGUGGCGGACGGGUGAGGAAUACAUCGGAAUCUACUUUUUCGGGGGGAUAACGUAGGGAAACUUACGCUAAUACCGCAUACGACCUACGGGUGAAAGCAGGGGAUCUUCGGACCUUGCGCGAUUGAAUGAGCCGAUGUCGGAUUAGCUAGUUGGCGGGGUAAAGGCCCACCAAGGCGACGAUCCGUAGCUGGUCUGAGAGGAUGAUCAGCCACACUGGAACUGAGACACGGUCCAGACUCCUACGGGAGGCAGCAGUGGGGAAUAUUGGACAAUGGGCGCAAGCCUGAUCCAGCCAUACCGCGUGGGUGAAGAAGGCCUUCGGGUUGUAAAGCCCUUUUGUUGGGAAAGAAAAGCAGCAGGUUAAUACCCCGCUGUUCUGACGGUACCCAAAGAAUAAGCACCGGCUAACUUCGUG